This is a non-coding RNA of Microcebus murinus (gray mouse lemur), 248 nucleotides long. Lineage: Eukaryota; Metazoa; Chordata; Mammalia; Primates; Cheirogaleidae. The record is from RefSeq and is a predicted model, not a curated record.
GCCGACGCGUCCGUCCCGCACGCGCCCAAUCAGGGACGCGCGGUGGGAGGCCCGUCGUGGAGUGCCGGGCCGGGCUGUUGAGGUUUCCGGUGGAGCAGGCUACACAGAAGCAUGGUGUUGGCGUCUGCCUCUGGUGAGGGCCUCAUGCUGCUUCCACUUAUGGUGGACGGGAAAGGGGAACCAGUGUAUGCAGAGAUCACAUGAGAUGAGGUCCGGCUUUGUCACCGGGACUGGAGUGCAGUGGCACA